AAGGCACUAGUAAAAUUAUUACUCCGCUUUGUCAAGGCGAACUUGUGGGUUGAAAUCCCGCGUGCCUUU
Molecule: transfer RNA, 69 nt
Filed under: Ilisha sirishai (lobejaw ilisha)
Lineage: Eukaryota; Metazoa; Chordata; Actinopteri; Clupeiformes; Pristigasteridae
Description: tRNA-Asp
Rfam family: tRNA
About the family: Transfer RNA (tRNA) molecules are approximately 80 nucleotides in length. Their secondary structure includes four short double-helical elements and three loops (D, anti-codon, and T loops).
Source: RNAcentral